RNAcentral lists this ribosomal RNA (1388 nucleotides) under Streptococcus thermophilus. RNAcentral's name for it is "bacterial SSU rRNA". It matches the Rfam family "Bacterial small subunit ribosomal RNA", at positions 69 to 1444 of the family's 1533-position model. The record is from RNAcentral. Lineage: Bacteria; Bacillati; Bacillota; Bacilli; Lactobacillales; Streptococcaceae.
AAGAGAGGAGCUUGCUCUUCUUGGAUGAGUUGCGAACGGGUGAGUAACGCGUAGGUAACCUGCCUUGUAGCGGGGGAUAACUAUUGGAAACGAUAGCUAAUACCGCAUAACAAUGGAUGACACAUGUCAUUUAUUUGAAAGGGGCAAUUGCUCCACUACAAGAUGGACCUGCGUUGUAUUAGCUAGUAGGUGAGGUAAUGGCUCACCUAGGCGACGAUACAUAGCCGACCUGAGAGGGUGAUCGGCCACACUGGGACUGAGACACGGCCCAGACUCCUACGGGAGGCAGCAGUAGGGAAUCUUCGGCAAUGGGGGCAACCCUGACCGAGCAACGCCGCGUGAGUGAAGAAGGUUUUCGGAUCGUAAAGCUCUGUUGUAAGUCAAGAACGGGUGUGAGAGUGGAAAGUUCACACUGUGACGGUAGCUUACCAGAAAGGGACGGCUAACUACGUGCCAGCAGCCGCGGUAAUACGUAGGUCCCGAGCGUUGUCCGGAUUUAUUGGGCGUAAAGCGAGCGCAGGCGGUUUGAUAAGUCUGAAGUUAAAGGCUGUGGCUCAACCAUAGUUCGCUUUGGAAACUGUCAAACUUGAGUGCAGAAGGGGAGAGUGGAAUUCCAUGUGUAGCGGUGAAAUGCGUAGAUAUAUGGAGGAACACCGGUGGCGAAAGCGGCUCUCUGGUCUGUAACUGACGCUGAGGCUCGAAAGCGUGGGGAGCGAACAGGAUUAGAUACCCUGGUAGUCCACGCCGUAAACGAUGAGUGCUAGGUGUUGGAUCCUUUCCGGGAUUCAGUGCCGCAGCUAACGCAUUAAGCACUCCGCCUGGGGAGUACGACCGCAAGGUUGAAACUCAAAGGAAUUGACGGGGGCCCGCACAAGCGGUGGAGCAUGUGGUUUAAUUCGAAGCAACGCGAAGAACCUUACCAGGUCUUGACAUCCCGAUGCUAUUUCUAGAGAUAGAAAGUUACUUCGGUACAUCGGUGACAGGUGGUGCAUGGUUGUCGUCAGCUCGUGUCGUGAGAUGUUGGGUUAAGUCCCGCAACGAGCGCAACCCCUAUUGUUAGUUGCCAUCAUUCAGUUGGGCACUCUAGCGAGACUGCCGGUAAUAAACCGGAGGAAGGUGGGGAUGACGUCAAAUCAUCAUGCCCCUUAUGACCUGGGCUACACACGUGCUACAAUGGUUGGUACAACGAGUUGCGAGUCGGUGACGGCGAGCUAAUCUCUUAAAGCCAAUCUCAGUUCGGAUUGUAGGCUGCAACUCGCCUACAUGAAGUCGGAAUCGCUAGUAAUCGCGGAUCAGCACGCCGCGGUGAAUACGUUCCCGGGCCUUGUACACACCGCCCGUCACACCACGAGAGUUUGUAACACCCGAAGUCGGUGAGGUAACCUUUG